RNAcentral lists this ribosomal RNA (254 nucleotides) under uncultured bacterium. RNAcentral's name for it is "partial 16S ribosomal RNA". It matches the Rfam family "Bacterial small subunit ribosomal RNA", at positions 524 to 776 of the family's 1533-position model. The record is from RNAcentral.
UACGAGUGCCUCGAGCGUUAUCCGGAAUUAUUGGGCGUAAAGGGUGUGUAGGCGGUUAUGUUAGUCUUGCGUUAAAUUCUCCGGCUCAACCGGAGAGCUGCGUGAGAAACGGCAUAACUGAGAGGAUGGAAGGGGUCUGCGGAACUCAUAGUGUAGCGGUGAAAUGCGUUGAUAUUAUGGGGAACACCAAAAGCGAAGGCAGCAGACUGGUCCACUCCUGACGCUGAAACACGAAAGCGUGGGUCGCGAAUGGG